Long non-coding RNA from Lineus longissimus, 1054 nucleotides. RefSeq lists it as uncharacterized. The transcript has 2 exons. The record is from RefSeq and is a predicted model, not a curated record. Lineage: Eukaryota; Metazoa; Nemertea; Pilidiophora; Heteronemertea; Lineidae.
GACGAACAUUGAGAAUAUUCACGUGUAAUAUCGCACCACUGAGAAUAAUAUCAACAAUGCAAUGAGAUACUGACAGAUGGUGGAACGAAGAGGUGUGUAUGAAGAAUGGGUUGCCAUCGUUCGCCUGAUUUCCUAUCCUCAUCCUAAAGGAAGGCUCCUGGAGUUUACGCAAACGAGACGGCUGGGUUAUAAUAAAGUAGCGAAACCUGCCUAUAACGACAACAUGUUUAGCUACAAAUGAAAUUUUUAUCAAUCAGAACAGUGUUUUGGUAUAAAGGUCAACAGAGGAUUCCUAGAACAUCAUUCUUUAACUACACCAGUUGCUUCCUGGUGUUGCUUGUUUACCUGCCUUAAUCAUCGACUGACAGUACGAAAUGCGCGGCAAUUAACCAUGGCAUUUUGACGUUCAUCGAAACAGACUUUGUAACAACAAGUUCUUCAUUGUGUUAUGAUGUUAACUUGUAUGUAUAGAAAGCGAAACAGCUCCUGAACAUUCUAAAAAGGUGAAUCACUGAAAUUUAUCAGCUUGUUGUACAAGUAGGCCAAGAUUAUAUUGGAAACGUUGUUUCGUAUCUAUUUUAUCACCGCACUUUUAGUCCGACAUUGAUUCAGCUGUGAUGAAACUUUGGCAUUCCUAAACUUUGGCAUUCAUAUAAACUUUGGCAAUCAACCAGAAAAUGGUCUAUGAUGACCUACUGCCAAAGUGAAUGUUUACCAUCUUUUCACAAGAAGGUUACAUUUCACUGUCAUGAGAUAUUGUGUACACGGACGCAUUUAACAUUUGGCAUUUUUCUGCAACAAUUUCUACAAAAAAUUAGUUAGUGUAAAAUGACCCUCACAACUUCUAUCUAAUUACAUCAAAAGGAACUUCUAAAGCAUUACUGCUCUCUUAACGAGGUUUUCCACUCUCAGCAACGACAUACCUGGCCAUAAUUACCAAAUCCAUUUGUUAUGUAGAAAGAAAAGUGUCCCUUGGAGAAUUACCGUAUACGCGAACCUUUGAUCCUUGGUUGGUGACCUUGUAGUGUUGUGCUGAAAGAAGGGAUUAAGCCAU